GAUGAACGCUGGCGGCGUGCUUAACACAUGCAAGUCGAACGAAGCAUUUAAGACAGAUUACUUCGGUUUGAAGUCUUUUAUGACUGAGUGGCGGACGGGUGAGUAACGCGUGGGUAACCUGCCUCAUACAGGGGGAUAGCAGCUGGAAACGGCUGGUAAUACCGCAUAAGCGCACAGUACCACAUGGUACAGUGUGAAAAACUCCGGUGGUAUGAGAUGGACCCGCGUCUGAUUAGCUUGUUGGCGGGGUAACGGCCCACCAAGGCGACGAUCAGUAGCCGACCUGAGAGGGUGACCGGACACAUUGGGACUGAGACACGGCCGAGACUCCUACGGGAGGCAGCAGUGGGGAAUAUUGCACAAUGGAGGAAACUCUGAUGCAGCGACGCCGCGUGAGUGAAGAAGUAGUUCGCUAUGUAAAGCUCUAUCAGCAGGGAAGAUAGUGACGGUACCUGACUAAGAAGCUCCGGCUAAAUACGUG
Molecule: ribosomal RNA, 481 nt
Filed under: uncultured bacterium
Lineage: Bacteria
Description: partial 16S ribosomal RNA
Rfam family: Bacterial small subunit ribosomal RNA
Source: RNAcentral